RNAcentral lists this unclassified non-coding RNA (352 nucleotides) under soil metagenome. RNAcentral describes it as "partial contains 5.8S ribosomal RNA, internal transcribed spacer 2, and large subunit ribosomal RNA". The stretch from base 2 to 121 matches the Rfam family "5.8S ribosomal RNA", at positions 35 to 154 of the family's 154-position model. The record is from RNAcentral.
GGAUGAAGAACGCAGCGAAAUGCGAUAAGUAAUGUGAAUUGCAGAAUUCAGUGAAUCAUCGAAUCUUUGAACGCACAUUGCGCCCUUUGGUAUUCCGAGGGGCAUGCCUGUUCGAGCGUCAUUACACCAAUCAAGCCCCGCUUGGUAUUGGGUGCCAGCCGGCCCUCCUAGGGGCGGCUCUCCUGGAAUGUAUGUGGGCGGCUCUCCCCUUGCUUCAAGCGUAGUAGAUCAUUUUCUCGCUUCGGAGGCUCGGGGUGCGCUCGCCGGACGAACCAAACCUUUAUUUUUCAAUGGUUGACCUCGGAUCAGGUAGGGAUACCCGCUGAACUUAAGCAUAUCAAUAAGCGGAGGA